AUAUUGGCCAGAGACCGAUAGCGCACAAGUAGAGUGAUCGAAAGAUGAAAAGCACUUUGGAAAGAGAGUUAAAAAGCACGUGAAAUUGUUAAAAGGGAAGGGAUUGCAACCAGACUUGCUCGCGGUGUUCCGCCGGUCUUCUGACCGGUCUACUCGCCGCGUUGCAGGCCAGCAUCGUCUGGUGCCGCUGGAUAAGACUUGAGGAAUGUAGCUCCCUCAGGAGUGUUAUAGCCUCUUGUGAUGCAGCGAGCGCCGGGCGAGGUCCGCGCUUCGGCUAGGAUGCUGGCAUAAUGGUCGUAAUCCGCCCGUCUUGAAACACGGACC
RNAcentral lists this ribosomal RNA (324 nucleotides) under uncultured fungus. RNAcentral's name for it is "LSU rRNA". It matches the Rfam family "Eukaryotic large subunit ribosomal RNA", at positions 320 to 667 of the family's 3401-position model. Lineage: Eukaryota; Fungi. The record is from RNAcentral.